GGACGGGUGAGUAACGCGUAGGCAACCUGCCCUUUGCAGAGGGAUAGCCUCGGGAAACCGGGAUUAAAACCUCAUAAUACUGCAAAUUCACAUGUAAUUGCAGUCAAAGAUUUAUCGGCAAAGGAUGGGCCUGCGUCUGAUUAGUUAGUUGGUGGGGUAACGGCUCACCAAGGCGAUGAUCAGUAGCCGACCUGAGAGGGUGAUCGGCCACAUUGGAACUGAGACACGGUCCAAACUCC
This 239-nucleotide ribosomal RNA is filed under the name uncultured Anaerovorax sp. RNAcentral's name for it is "partial 16S ribosomal RNA". It matches the Rfam family "Bacterial small subunit ribosomal RNA", at positions 100 to 339 of the family's 1533-position model. Lineage: Bacteria; Bacillati; Bacillota; Clostridia; Peptostreptococcales; Anaerovoracaceae. The record is from RNAcentral.